This is a long non-coding RNA of Dunckerocampus dactyliophorus (ringed pipefish), 2922 nucleotides long. RefSeq lists it as uncharacterized. Lineage: Eukaryota; Metazoa; Chordata; Actinopteri; Syngnathiformes; Syngnathidae. The transcript has 7 exons. The record is from RefSeq and is a predicted model, not a curated record.
CCAGACUGUGGUAGCGAGUGCCCUCUUGAUGCAGUAGUGUGCUGGGGUAGCAGCCUCAAGAAGAAGGACAAACUGGUGAGGAAGGCAGGCUCUGUCAUUGGCACUGAACUGGACAGCGUGACAUCUGUGGCAGAGCAAAGGACACUGAGGAGGCUCUUUUCCAUCAUGGACAACCAGCAUCAUCCAACACACAGCAUCAUCCCCCGACAGAAGAGCAGUUUCACUGGCAGAUUACUAUCACUGUCCUGCUCCGCUGAAAGACUGAGCAGACCAUUCCUCCCCCACGCCAUGCGGCUUUGCAAUACAACAGAGGGGAAGCGAUAAAAACACAAACAGGACUGGACUUAUUACCUUAUUAUUAUUAUUAUUAUUACACAGCAAAUUGAGCAGUGUUAAUUUUUUGGUGUUGAUGAGAAUCUUGAAGUUGGAGUGUCAAUCUUACACUAUUUGGAGUUGAUCUAACACUGCAUUUUCUUAAAAAUGUUAAAUUUAACACUGGAUCAUGAAAAUGUUGUAGUUAAAAUGGAGUGUUGAAUGUUCAAAUCUUCUGUCACAAUAAAGACAUUCAACACUUCCACCCUCCAUUUAACGCCUAACAGUGUUCACGUGUCUUAAGCUCCGCCCACGGACAUUUCAUUUAGACUCCACCCCUCACCUCACGUUGCUGAAAUGAAAAGCAGAUGGAAGAAGUUGACAAUUAGGAAUCAUUUUGCAUCAGUAGUGUUGCUGUGAGCUGAAUCGGCACUGCCUGUGCAACAUUUGGCAAAGUAAGUGAACGCUACGUUAUAUUCAUUAUACUGUCUUCAUUUUGAAUGAGCUAAUGGCUAACUAGCGAAUUGGCACGAGGAGCCCCCACACGUAGGCCUGCUGGCCCCCAGCAAAGGACUUGAUAUGCUGUACAACAUACAAGAUAUCAAGGUUGGCAACUGUAAUUGUUACUGUAACUUAAAAAUAAUUGUCAGGCAUGUGUUGGAAGUGAACUACACGUUUUUUUUUUAUUUUUUAGAAUGAUGCAUCUUUAUUUUUCUUCUUGAUCCACAGCAAACCUUUCCUUGAGUCUUACAUGAAUGUGAGGUGGAUGGGGAUGUCUUUGAUGAGCUUGUCAAGUCAGGUGUUUUGUCUUUCAAGGUCCUUUUAUCAGUGACAGGCCUAAAAAUGUAUUUUUGGUCACCCAGUCACUGUUGUGUCCAACACUUCUCCUGGCUCUGGAUGGUCCAAAAACCAGAGGAGAAUAUCUGUUAACUGGCACUGGCACAAUCUACAGUAAGACAUUUAACCGAUGAAUCCGUGGUCAAAGAAGGUGAGAGCAACUUUCCAGUAUCAACAGAAUAUGAUCCAAGCAGAAGAUGUAUCAUCGUCUGUCCUCAAUGUGUUCCCUCGCUUCCUUGAUGUUCCUGGAUUGAUUUACCAGGAUUUCUCAAUGAUGUUUGGUGAUGAAGUAUCUCAGAGGUUCCUGGCUAAGUGGUCAACUGUCUUCAAAGCAAAAGUCAUUGUAGACUGCAAGACUCUCCUGCAAAAGCAGAACAUUGAUGAGUUGCUGUCAGGAACUGAACCUCAACCUGAUGACAGCUGUGGCAUCCAUCCUUCUGCUCCCUCCGACUUCUAGAGGCCAGGAAAAAAACUGCAAAGAUCAGUUUGGCUCAAGUAGCCAACCAUCUUCUCCGAUAUCUUAAGAAAAGAGCCAGUGUGACCCCCUUCCAAGACUGUUGACACAAGACAACCAUUUCUCCUCUGCAUCAGUGAGCACAAGUGACAUCCAGAGGUUCUACAUUAUUGACCAAAAGCCGGUUCCAUGCAAGGCACAUACAUUUAUUGCAGCUUUUGAUGAACUGUUCAAAGCUCACUUUGUCUUCAGUCUCUCGUAUGGUUAAAAAUGGAUAAGAGCAAACAUUUGGGUCUGAAUGCUGCCCAGUCAUGGUGUCUUCUACGUAACACUCCACUUAUAUUUGAUGUUAUUGAAAGGAGAAUGAUCACUGGAACUUCCUCCUCCUUUUGAUGCAGAUUGUCAACAUAGUGUUCUCCUACACCAUAACUGAUGGAAUGAUCCUUUACUUGAAACAUCUGAUAAGUGACCACCACACUCGGUACAAAGCAUUGCUUCCUGGUAAGAAGUUGAUUCCCAAGCACCGCUUGAUGAUACUAUCCAAGAUGCAUACAAAACAUUGGCCCUCUUAUCCAUACGUGGUGCAUGUGUUGUUGAAGACAAACACCAUUUUUUCAAAAGGUGUGGUUAAAUUUUUAAAAAUCUCAGUCGUUUGCCGUGGCCUUCAUGAUGAAAAUUAUUAUUUUAGAAGAUUUGCAUUUGGCCCUACAACAUCAAAAACAAUCUGCAACUUGAAAGGUGGGGAGGAACGUGGUCAGGCAUGAUGUCUGCAAGCAUCUUCAAGUGUGUCAAGUACCAACUGGGUGAGAAGUUACGGUAUAGAGCACCAUGUUGGUGUGUUCAUAUGUACUGGAUGUAGCUUUGAUCUACCUGUGUUCAAGAAGAUCUGUGAUAUAAUAAAACACAAAGAAUGUGCUUUCAUAGUAGCCUGUAAUGUAGAAACGAUGUACUAUGAGGACCUGUUUAACGUGUACUGCAUAGAAGACCAAAUGCUUGAGUUUUCUGUCGUGUUUAAAUGAACUGACUCAUUUCAGACCAUUUGACAAGCAGUGUUCUGACAGUUGUCAAAGAGCAUACGUAGUGCCCUACUGUUAUUUAAGCUAGUGUCUGUUGUAAAUGAAAUGUUUUUGAAUAAAAUGUAUGAAGCCGUCAACUACCGUAAAGCACCGUUUAUAAACCACACUUUUUUCCCACUGGUAAGAAGCAAAAAAUUGGGGUGCGGUUUAUACACGAUGACAGGUCUGUGACCAGACGCAGAAAUUGACUACAAGUCCAUUUAUCUUAACUUAUCUGACGGCUGUCUGUAUUUUCACACAGUG